GUAGCAAAAUUGAAGAUGCAAGGGCUACUUUCGGAAUUUUCAAGGGACCGAUAUACACAGGAAACUUUAUUUCCGCCUAAAAAAAAAUUUAGCCCUCGAUCACUGAUAUUUUCCCUCUCCGCUCCUCGGUCUCUCUCGAUCCCUGCGUUCUCUCCCCGCCCACUGCCGCCGUCAGACGCCGGAGACCGGAUUUUAUCCGGCGAAUUUCACUGCCUUUUCCCUCUCUCUCUCUCAGCGAAUACAACAACAACGAGAAUGGAGGAGCUUCAGAAGCUGGAGAAAGUGCAAAGAAUGAUGUCGUUCAUGGAAGCUCGAGGGCUCUCCACCAACCGUCAUGACUCCGACCGCUUCCUGGCUGAUUUCCUCCUCUUCAUGGUUCAACCAUCUCAGUCACUCACCAUGAAGAAAAGAUGUGACCUUGUCUCCGAGCAUAUAAAAAAGAUAUCACCUACAAUUCUAGAAGAUGCCGUAUUAUAUGUAACUGAAGAUAGUCAACAGCUUUAUGCAGAUAUUCCACCCAGUUCUAAAGUUGAUUACAAACUGAAUCUUCAGUUACCUGAACUGAACAGACAUAAAAACAUGGCUAACAUUGGGCUUGAUUGCAUGCAAAGAGCGAAUUCUACUCUUGAGGAUUUUUGCAGAUCUUAUUUUAUGUUUCAUGAAAUGGAUGUCAACGAUCCACGAGCAAUAUUUAAAUUUCUUCCUGUGCUUUCAUUCACCGAAAGCUAUAUAUAUCAGCUGGAUACUAUGAACGAAAGAAGUUUAUUAUCAUUGACAAGUUCACCAGAAGAUGACACUAACGUUUCUAAUUGUAUGCACGAUGGGGCAAGUAAUCUAGGCAGUGAACAAUCUUUCUCUGACUUCCCAAUAUCUGAGUCAUUUGAUCCACUUGUUGAUGUUCUUCGGUGUCAGGGAUUACUGACAGAGCGAAUUCAAACUGAACUUCAGCGUGGAUAUGAAUAUUGGGAACUUGAAAGGAAACUUUGUCAUGCAUUAACCUUCAAGAGAAAGAUUAUUAUUGAAGAUGUUAUGAGAGCCGUGCAUCUGAAAUCCUUUGACUAUCGAGUUCUGAAUCUUUUGUUAUAUCAAUUAAGAAAUCAGAAGGUCAAUGACUUGCAUAUGGAGUUUCUAUCAAUAUCUGAAUUCCUAGUUGAAGUAUCGGAUGACUUUGAUCAUAUUAUAGGUACGAUUAUGAGGGGGAUGUUAGAGAAAAUAGUUUCAAUAUACUUCGUAUGUUCGUGGCCAUUUAUGGCGCUUCUACUGCACCAGCUAUGUUGGCAAAAUGCAUUACCGAGGCUGAAGAAAAGUUCGAGCAUUUGUCAAGGGCUUUGGAUCCUGAACUAUCCUUGAGAUACUGGAGAAGAUGUGAAGAAGCAUCAAGAGAAGGGGGUUCAUCGGGGCAUGCUUUUGGAAUGUGGAGUAUCCCUCCUGUGAUUAUUGAUGAAGAUUCAUUUCGAUUGCAAACCACAGGCAUGAGUCCGGUUUAGGGAUGCCCAACGUGGCCAUCUUCCUCCAAGAGUUGAAGAGAAAAACCAUCUGGAGGUGCUAUAAAGCUUUUUUCCCAGUAGUUCUACAAAAGAAGAAGAGAGAAGAAAAAAGAGAAAAAAAAAGUACUUCAAAAACAUAAGAUUCCACCUUUUCAAAUGUAUAGUAGAAAUGGAUCAAACGGUCGCCUCUCGUUCAACUAUUUCCAUCACAGAGUGGCAUAGACAGGUGUGAGGUACUACAUAUUAAAAUCUCUGCUUUGAACUACUGUAGGUUUACAGUACGUAGUAAUAGAAAGUAGUUCCUUUCUGUUUGCCUUUCUUGUGUCUCAACAGUCAACUCAUGGUUGAGUUUAAUCAUUAUUUUCGCGCGUCUUGUCUCUCUUUUUGGAUAAUUGAUUGAUUGAUUCAUGAAUAGGUUAUUCCCGGGACAUAGUAAAAUGAUAAGCUCAACCAGAGUCAAUGAGCUUUUCCAAGGGGUUGUUUGAUUCGAUUUGUAUAAAUUAUA
Molecule: RNA transcript, 1992 nt
Organism: Asparagus officinalis (garden asparagus)
Lineage: Eukaryota; Viridiplantae; Streptophyta; Magnoliopsida; Asparagales; Asparagaceae
Exons: 17
Source: RefSeq, a predicted model, not a curated record